GACUGCUUGGCGAAAUGGUAGCGCGUUCGACUCCAGAUCGAAAGGUUCGAUCCCUCAGUGGUCA
RNAcentral lists this transfer RNA (64 nucleotides) under Caenorhabditis brenneri. It matches the Rfam family "tRNA". From Rfam's summary of the family: Transfer RNA (tRNA) molecules are approximately 80 nucleotides in length. Their secondary structure includes four short double-helical elements and three loops (D, anti-codon, and T loops). Further hydrogen bonds mediate the characteristic L-shaped molecular structure. tRNAs have two regions of fundamental functional importance: the anti-codon, which is responsible for specific mRNA codon recognition, and the 3' end, to which the tRNAs corresponding amino acid is attached (by aminoacyl-tRNA synthetases). tRNAs cope with the degeneracy of the genetic code in two manners: having more than one tRNA (with a specific anti-codon) for a particular amino acid; and 'wobble' base-pairing, i.e. permitting non-standard base-pairing at the 3rd anti-codon position. The record is from Rfam by way of RNAcentral. Lineage: Eukaryota; Metazoa; Nematoda; Chromadorea; Rhabditida; Rhabditidae.